AGAGUUUGAUUCUGGCUCAGGAUGAACGCUAGCUACAGGCUAACACAUGCAAGUCGAGGGGCAGCAUGCAGGUAGCUUGCUAUCUGUGAUGGCGACCGGCGCACGGGGUGCGUAACACCGUAUCCAACCUACCCGCGGCGUCGGGGAUAGCCUUUUCGAAAGAGAGAUUAAUACCCGAUGGUCUAUGGUACAGACAUCUGUUCCAUAGUAAAGAUUCAUCGGCGGCGGAUGGGGAUGCGUCCGAUUAGGUAGAUGGCGGGGUAACGGCCCACCAUGCCGGCGAUCGGUAGGGGUUCUGAGAGGAAGGCCCCCCACACUGGAACUGAGACACGGUCCAGACUCCUACGGGAGGCAGCAGUGAGGAGUAUUGGUCAAUGGGCGGGAGCCUGAACCAGCCCAAGUAGCGUGAGGGUACGACGGCCCUACGGGUUGUAAACCUCUUUUGUUUGGGAAUAAAGUCCGCUACGUGUAGCGGUUUGUAUGUACCUUACGAAUAAGCAUCGGCUAAUUCCGUGCCAGCCGCCGC
Molecule: ribosomal RNA, 526 nt
Filed under: uncultured bacterium
Lineage: Bacteria
Description: bacterial SSU rRNA
Rfam family: Bacterial small subunit ribosomal RNA
Source: RNAcentral